UACGAAGGGGGCUAGCGUUGUUCGGAAUUACUGGGCGUAAAGGGCGCGUAGGCGGUUUGACCAGUCAGGUGUGAAAUUCCCGGGCUUAACCUGGGGGCUGCACUUGAUACUGUCAGGCUUGAAUUCGGGAGAGGAUAGCGGAAUUCCCAGUGUAGAGGUGAAAUUCGUAGAUAUUGGGAAGAACACCAGUGGCGAAGGCGGCUAUCUGGACCGACAUUGACGCUGAGGCGCGAAAGCGUGGGGAGCAAACAGG
This 253-nucleotide ribosomal RNA is filed under the name uncultured bacterium. RNAcentral describes it as "partial 16S ribosomal RNA". It matches the Rfam family "Bacterial small subunit ribosomal RNA", at positions 524 to 776 of the family's 1533-position model. The record is from RNAcentral.